GAUGAACGCUAGCGGCAGGCUUAAUACAUGCAAGUCGUGGGGCAGCAUGAGUAGCAAUACUUGAUGGCGACCGGCAAACGGGUGAGGAACACGUACACAACCUUCCUUCAAGCGGGGAAUAGCCCAGAGAAAUUUGGAUUAAUACCCCAUAAUAUAUUUGAUAAGGCAUCUUAUUAAUAUUAAAGCUUCGGCACUUGAUGAUGGGUGUGCGGCUGAUUAGAUAGUUGGCGGGGUAACGGCCCACCAAGUCUACGAUCAGUAGCUGAUGUGAGAGCAUGAUCAGCCACACGGGCACUGAGACACGGGCCCGACUCCUACGGGAGGCAGCAGUAAGGAAUAUUGGACAAUGGACGAAAGUCUGAUCCAGCCAUGCCGCGUGAAGGAUAAGGUCCUCUGGAUUGUAAACUCUUUUAUAUGGGACGAAAAAGGGCAUUCUUGUUCACUUGACGGUACCAUAUGAAUAAGCACCGGCUAACUCCGUGCCAGCA
Molecule: ribosomal RNA, 488 nt
Filed under: uncultured bacterium
Lineage: Bacteria
Description: bacterial SSU rRNA
Rfam family: Bacterial small subunit ribosomal RNA
Source: RNAcentral